RNAcentral lists this ribosomal RNA (405 nucleotides) under uncultured bacterium. Its description in RNAcentral is "bacterial SSU rRNA". It matches the Rfam family "Bacterial small subunit ribosomal RNA", at positions 28 to 424 of the family's 1533-position model. The record is from RNAcentral.
GAUGAACGCUAGCGGCAGGCUUAAUACAUGCAAGUCGAGGGGCAGCAGGUCCCGCAGCAAUGCGGGAUGCUGGCGACCGGCAAACGGGUGCGGAACACGUACACAACCUUCCUUUAAGCGGGGAAUAGCCCGGGGAAACCCGGAUUAAUACCCCAUAGUAUAUUGAAGAGGCAUCUCUUUAUUAUUAAAGAUUUAUUACUUGAAGAUGGGUGUGCGGCUGAUUAGGUAGUUGGCGGGGUAACGGCCCACCAAGCCUACGAUCAGUAACUGGUGUGAGAGCACGACCAGUCACACGGGCACUGAGACACGGGCCCGACUCCUACGGGAGGCAGCAGUAAGGAAUAUUGUCAAUGGACGAAAGUCUGAACCAGCCAUGCCGCGUGGAGGAUGAAGGUCCUCUGGAUU